Molecule: ribosomal RNA, 253 nt
Filed under: uncultured bacterium
Lineage: Bacteria
Description: partial 16S ribosomal RNA
Rfam family: Bacterial small subunit ribosomal RNA
Source: RNAcentral
UACAGAGGUCCCAAGCGUUGUUCGGAUUCAUUGGGCGUAAAGGGUGCGUAGGUGGCGUCGUAAGUCGGGUGUGAAAUUUCGGAGCUUAACUCCGAAACUGCAUUCGAUACUGGCGUGCUUGAGGACUGGAGAGGAGACUGGAAUUCAUGGUGUAGCAGUGAAAUGCGUAGAGAUCAUGAGGAAGACCAGUGGCGAAGGUGGGUCUCUGGACAGUUCCUGACACUGAGGCACGAAGGCCAGGGGAGCAAACGGG